GAUGAACGCUGGCGGCGUGCCUAAUACAUGCAAGUCGAGCGAACAGACGAGGAGCUUGCUCCUCUGACGUUAGCGGCGGACGGGUGAGUAACACGUGGAUAACCUACCUAUAAGACUGGGAUAACUUCGGGAAACCGGAGCUAAUACCGGAUAAUAUAUUGAACCGCAUGGUUCAAUAGUGAAAGACGGUUUUGCUGUCACUUAUAGAUGGAUCCGCGCCGCAUUAGCUAGUUGGUAAGGUAACGGCUUACCAAGGCAACGAUGCGUAGCCGACCUGAGAGGGUGAUCGGCCACACUGGAACUGAGACACGGUCCAGACUCCUACGGGAGGCAGCAGUAGGGAAUCUUCCGCAAUGGGCGAAAGCCUGACGGAGCAACGCCGCGUGAGUGAUGAAGGUCUUCGGAUCGUAAAACUCUGUUAUUAGGGAAGAACAAAUGUGUAAGUAACUAUGCACGUCUUGACGGUACCUAAUCAGAAAGCCACGGCUAACUACGUGCCAGCAGCCGCGGUAAUACGUAGGUGGCAAGCGUUAUCCGGAAUUAUUGGGCGUAAAGCGCGCGUAGGUGGUUUUUUAAGUCUGAUGUGAAAGCCCACGGCUCAACCGUGGAGGGUCAUUGGAAACUGGAAAACUUGAGUGCAGAAGAGGAAAGUGGAAUUCCAUGUGUAGCGGUGAAAUGCGCAGAGAUAUGGAGGAACACCAGUGGCGAAGGCGACUUUCUGGUCUGUAACUGACGCUGAUGUGCGAAAGCGUGGGGAUCAAACAGG
This 766-nucleotide ribosomal RNA is filed under the name Staphylococcus epidermidis. Its description in RNAcentral is "bacterial SSU rRNA". It matches the Rfam family "Bacterial small subunit ribosomal RNA", at positions 28 to 776 of the family's 1533-position model. Lineage: Bacteria; Bacillati; Bacillota; Bacilli; Caryophanales; Staphylococcaceae. The record is from RNAcentral.